AAGUCGUAACAAGGUUUCCGUAGGUGAACCUGCGGAAGGAUCAUUAACACGUUCCAAAACGUAUCAACCAAACGGUUAAGUGCAAACUUAUUCCCUCAUACAGGGAGCUGUUCAUCUGAAUCUAGUGAUGGGUAAGUCUUCGGGCUUACAGAAGCAGAUGAGCUAGGGUCUCGAGCCCAAAGUUCCUUAUGUGAGGCUUUCCUUUUUUUUUCCCAUCACUUCCCAACUAACCAUUUUCACCCCUUUAAACCAUUUGACUAAAUCUUUCGAACGAAGAAAUUUGUUUGGAAUUGUAUAUCUAACACUGUACAACUCUUAGCAAUGGAUAUCUUGGUUCUC
This 339-nucleotide unclassified non-coding RNA is filed under the name fungal sp. RNAcentral describes it as "partial internal transcribed spacer region". The stretch from base 1 to 46 matches the Rfam family "Eukaryotic small subunit ribosomal RNA", at positions 1786 to 1831 of the family's 1831-position model. The record is from RNAcentral. Lineage: Eukaryota; Fungi.